RNAcentral lists this long non-coding RNA (2391 nucleotides) under Homo sapiens (human). RNAcentral's name for it is "HSALNT0088359". The record is from RNAcentral. Lineage: Eukaryota; Metazoa; Chordata; Mammalia; Primates; Hominidae.
GCUUUGUACAUUUUUGUUAUUUUAAGGGAGUUACAGAUCUCCAAAGCUUAUUUGUGGGCAGCAGAUUAAGAAUUUCUGCUAUGAAAAGAGGACAAAGUUCAAACCAAUUAAGGACCAUCUGCCUACCAUAAAAACAAGAUCCUAUUGAAGUUAAAUAACUAUCAAUAAAAGGGCAUUCAACAACUAGGUCUGCUACCCUGCCUGGCCCUGAGCAAGUAGGACAAUGGGUCCAGCCAUGUCCCUGUUCUUUCUGAGGAGUGGCAACUGUGCCUCCUACUGCACCCGCCUGUACCAGCCAUGGCUGAGAACUUGGCAGUCAUGGAUGCUCUCUACACUUGACUGAAAAAGAAAACAGCUUCUUGGCUGUCUGAGCCUUAAAAGGUGAUUGUCCUAUUCCUGACAUAUUCUUUACAAAGUUCUAGGUGUAAGAAAAGGCUGUUUCAGGUUUUAAUGAGAGAAUAUUUGUUAGAGAGAAUAUUUGUUAAGCGCCCAGCUUAAGGACACACACAAAACUAUCAACAAAUGCCAUCUCUUUCCAAAGGUCAAGAGAGAGGGUAACUUUACUUGACGAAGUCACAGCUCUGGGAGAAAUUCCACUGACACUCAGGGGACUAAGUUAUGUAGUUUAACUAAAUUUGACUUGAAAUAAGUAGGCAUUUAAGAGGGCUUUUCUCUGGGGAUUUUACACAUAUUUUGCUGAUGUUGUAUUUUAAGGUAUCCUAUUUUGGUCAAAGUAGAUUCUUUAGCCAAAUCAGUACAUUUUGAAAUGACUAAAAUAUCUAGCAGCCAGCAAGUUCAGAUACACUGAUCUUUAGGAGGAAAUAGCCACAAAUUGAAUAGUACUUAAAGAAUUCUGUAUCAUUUUGCUUUGUUUCAGAAAGAUUAUCACAGGGAAAAGCUUAGUUAAGUGACUUUAAUAUUAAUAUAUUCAUUUCUGUAUUUCCAAUAUCUAGCAUAAUUCUCACACCAGGUAUAGGAAAGUGAUAACUAUUUAUUGAAUGAAUUUUCUAUAUAUGUAUGUCAAUAUCCAUUUUUAAGAACUCCAUGGUCAGGCAUGGUGGCCCACACAUGUAGUCCCAGCUACUCAAGAAGCUGACAUUGGAGGAUCACUUGAGCCCAGGAGUUUGAGUCUGUAGUGUGCUAUGAUCAGACCUAUGAAUAAACUAGGUGAGGGGAAAUUUACUGUGCAAAUACCUGCUAUGGCUGAUACAAGGUGCAGAUUAUAGCUCUAUGGUGGCCUGGAGAACCUCACACUUCUUAAUGGGUUCUCUAAGCAGGUGACCAGGAGAAUCACUAUUCUAUUUUUGAUAAAGUUUCACUGAUCUUUUUUCAACUAGUCUUACCAAAUUCUCUGAGCAACACCUGCUGCAUUUGAUCUCAACUCAAUUUCAACUCCACUGGGGUGCAUGGGUGGGAACAAGAGAAAAAUAAGGGAAAUAUUUAAGUAAAUGAAAUUUAGCAAUGUCAGAAGAGACAGCAGGACAAAUUGCAAUCAAUAAUCCACCAGCAAUGCUAAUCACUUAAAAUUGUACAUUUACAUUUUCCAAUGCAGGAAUAAUGAUAUCAAUAUGAAUACCAAUGACAACAGUAACGAUAAUGAGUUCACAUUUAUUGAGUAUUUACUGUGUGCUGUAGACUGUGUUAAAUCAUUUGCAUGGCUUAUUUCAUUUAAUCUCACAAGAAUCCCAGGUGGAAGAGACUGGCAUUUCCUUUCCUCCUUUAUAGAUAAGGAAACUGAGGCAGAGAGGAGUUAAAUAAAUUAUGGACAGAUGUAGAGCCAGUGUCAGAGCAUCAACAUAAGAAUUCUCCAUCGUUAUACUGGCUUUUCUCACAAUAUGGCCUUAGAAUUACCUGGGAUGCUUGCUAAAAAUGAUUAGCUCUCAGUGUUAUCUAAAGCAAAUGAAUCAGGGUCUUAGGGAUGAAGAUCAGGACUCUACAUUUAAGAGACAGCAGGCACAGUAUUUCUUACGUACAUCACAGUUGGAGAACCAGUGUCUGAGCAGUAUGAAUUUCACAGCCUGAUACUGCUACAUGAACCAGAUUGAGUAAAAUGAUUCUCGUUUUUACUAUAGAGUCGUAUAAGAGAGAAAAUAUAUCACAACAUUAAAGAGAAACAGUAAAAUCACCUCAACUAUUGAAAUCAUUUCAACAGAGGACUCAACUUCUGAAUUGAUCAUAGAGAUAUAACUGCUUUUGACCAGCUUUAGAAGGCAGAUUUUUGUAUUUGUCUCUCAUAUGGAACUGGGGCCUCAAUUUCCCAUUUGUAAAACAAGAGUGUCGGACUAGACAAAAUUUUAUAAAACUGCAGGUUUAAAUAUUAAUAAAUAUAUAAAUGUUUUCCCUUUUUUAAAAAAGAGAAUUCACUAUACAAUUUCUUAAAAUAACCUUUUU